RNAcentral lists this ribosomal RNA (293 nucleotides) under uncultured bacterium. Its description in RNAcentral is "partial 16S ribosomal RNA". It matches the Rfam family "Bacterial small subunit ribosomal RNA", at positions 775 to 1067 of the family's 1533-position model. The record is from RNAcentral.
GGAUUAGAUACCCUGGUAGUCCACGCCGUAAACGAUGUCUACUAGUUGUCGGUUGUCUUGUACGACGGGUAACGCAGCUAACGCGAUAAGUAGACCGCCUGGGGAGUACGGCCGCAAGGUUAAAACUCAAAUGAAUUGACGGGGGCCCGCACAAGCGGUGGAGCAUGUGGUUUAAUUCGAAGCAACGCGAAGAACCUUACCUGGCCUUGACAUCCAGAGAACUUACUAGAGAUAGUUUGGUGCCUUCGGGAACUCUGAGACAGGUGCUGCAUGGCUGUCGUCAGCUCGUGUCG